AGGUUGACCUCGGAUCAGGUAGGAAUACCCGCUGAACUUAAGCAUAUCAAUAAGCGGAGGAAAAGAAACCAACAGGGAUUGCCCUAGUAACGGCGAGUGAAGCGGCAACAGCUCAAAUUUGAAAUCUGGCCCUCGGGUCCGAGUUGUAAUUUGCAGAGGAUGCUUUUGGCGCGGUGCCUUCCGAGUUCCCUGGAACGGGACGCCUUAGAGGGUGAGAGCCCCGUACGGUUGGACACCAAGCCUCUGUAAAGCUCCUUCGACGAGUCGAGUAGUUUGGGAAUGCUGCUCUAAAUGGGAGGUAAAUUUCUUCUAAAGCUAAAUAUUGGCCAGAGACCGAUAGCGCACAAGUAGAGUGAUCGAAAGAUGAAAAGCACUUUGAAAAGAGGGUUAAAUAGCACGUGAAAUUGUUGAAAGGGAAGCGUUUGCGACCAGACCUUUUCCUAGCGGAUCAUCCGGUGUUCCUCACCGGUGCACUUCGCUUGGUUGAGGCCAGCAUCGGUUUCUGUAGGGGGACAAAAGCUUUGGGAACGUAGCUCCCUCGGGAGUGUUAUAGCCCUCUGCACAAUACCCUUACGGGGACCGAGGACCGCGCUUUAUGCAAGGAUGCUGGCGUAAUGGUCGUCAACGACCCGUCU
Molecule: ribosomal RNA, 635 nt
Filed under: Xylaria sp. NRRL 40192
Lineage: Eukaryota; Fungi; Ascomycota; Sordariomycetes; Xylariales; Xylariaceae
Description: eukaryotic LSU rRNA
Rfam family: Eukaryotic large subunit ribosomal RNA
Source: RNAcentral